RNAcentral lists this ribosomal RNA (447 nucleotides) under uncultured bacterium. Its description in RNAcentral is "bacterial SSU rRNA". It matches the Rfam family "Bacterial small subunit ribosomal RNA", at positions 355 to 825 of the family's 1533-position model. The record is from RNAcentral.
UGGGGAAUAUUGGACAAUGGGCGCAAGCCUGAUCCAGCCAUGCCGCGUGAGUGACGAAGGCCUUAGGGUUGUAAAGCUCUUUUGGCGGGGAAGAUAAUGACGGUACCCGCAGAAUAAGCUCCGGCUAACUUCGUGCCAGCAGCCGCGGUAAUACGAAGGGGGCUAGCGUUGUUCGGAAUCACUGGGCGUAAAGCGCACGUAGGCGGAUUUGUUAGUCAGGGGUGAAAUCCCGGGGCUCAACCUCGGAACUGCCUCUGAUACUGCAAAUCUCGAGUCCGAUAGAGGUGAGUGGAAUUCCCAGUGUAGAGGUGAAAUUCGUAGAUAUUGGGAAGAACACCAGUGGCGAAGGCGGCUAACUGGUCCGGUACUGACGCUGAGGUGCGAAAGCGUGGGGAGCAAACAGGAUUAGAUACCCACGUAGUCCCUGAGCGGGCUGGCAAGGCGCAU